RNAcentral lists this transfer RNA (73 nucleotides) under Monoraphidium minutum. RNAcentral's name for it is "tRNA-OTHER". It matches the Rfam family "tRNA". From Rfam's summary of the family: Transfer RNA (tRNA) molecules are approximately 80 nucleotides in length. Their secondary structure includes four short double-helical elements and three loops (D, anti-codon, and T loops). Further hydrogen bonds mediate the characteristic L-shaped molecular structure. tRNAs have two regions of fundamental functional importance: the anti-codon, which is responsible for specific mRNA codon recognition, and the 3' end, to which the tRNAs corresponding amino acid is attached (by aminoacyl-tRNA synthetases). tRNAs cope with the degeneracy of the genetic code in two manners: having more than one tRNA (with a specific anti-codon) for a particular amino acid; and 'wobble' base-pairing, i.e. permitting non-standard base-pairing at the 3rd anti-codon position. The record is from RNAcentral. Lineage: Eukaryota; Viridiplantae; Chlorophyta; Chlorophyceae; Sphaeropleales; Selenastraceae.
GCCACCGUAGCUCAAUUGGUAGAGCAUCGGGUUUCACAACUCGGAGAUGCAGGUUCGAAUCCUGUCGGUGGAA